GUCAUCACUGCUUUUAAUGGAUGAAAUUGGUUGGUUAGAGCCUGGUGCUGAUAACGCCAAGGCUGCAGGUUCAAUCCCUGGGGACGGCU
Podarcis lilfordi (Lilford's wall lizard) is the source of this 89-nucleotide non-coding RNA. The record is from the annotation of a GenBank genome assembly. NCBI's taxonomy places the organism in Eukaryota, Metazoa, Chordata, Lepidosauria, Squamata, Lacertidae.